ACCUGGCUGGCUCAGUAGUAAGAGCAUGUGACUCCUGAUCUUGGGGCUGUGAGUUUGAACCCCACUUUGGGUG
RNAcentral lists this transfer RNA (73 nucleotides) under Mustela putorius furo (domestic ferret). It matches the Rfam family "tRNA". Rfam says of the family: Transfer RNA (tRNA) molecules are approximately 80 nucleotides in length. Their secondary structure includes four short double-helical elements and three loops (D, anti-codon, and T loops). Lineage: Eukaryota; Metazoa; Chordata; Mammalia; Carnivora; Mustelidae. The record is from Rfam by way of RNAcentral.